Molecule: long non-coding RNA, 456 nt
Organism: Mus pahari (shrew mouse)
Lineage: Eukaryota; Metazoa; Chordata; Mammalia; Rodentia; Muridae
Exons: 2
Source: RefSeq, a predicted model, not a curated record
CUACUACGUGCUGAGGGGUUGCAAUGGCGGACGUGUCUGAGAGGACGCUGCAGGUGUCCGUGCUAGUGGCUUUCGCCUCUGGAGUGGUUCUGGGCUGGCAAGCAAAUCGGCUGCGGAGGCGUUACCUAGACUGGAGGAAGCGGAGGCUGCAGGACAAGCUGGCAACGACUCAGAAAAAGCUGGACCUGGCCUGAGCACGCGCUGCGCCCCGAGUCCGCCGGGUUCUUACUGCCUAAGCCCAACGCAGCCCGGAUCGUGGGAGCGGCGCGACCACACGCCUAUGAGUCGUCCUUGCACAGCUUGCAAGAAUGUGGCUUGCUUCCAGACCUCAGAAAGAAAAUAGUUUUGUCUUCUCUAACAACUUACUUUCAGCUUGUCGAAGAUGGAUAUAAAGCACUGAAGAGAAAUAAUUUCUUGCACUUUAUGAAUCUAUUUUUGAAAUAAAAAAAAAAUUAA